Molecule: ribosomal RNA, 248 nt
Filed under: uncultured bacterium
Lineage: Bacteria
Description: partial 16S ribosomal RNA
Rfam family: Bacterial small subunit ribosomal RNA
Source: RNAcentral
UACGUAGGGUGCGAGCGUUAAUCGGAAUUACUGGGCGUAAAGCGUGCGCAGGCGGUUCUCCAAGUCCGUUGUGAAAGCCCCGGGCUCAACCUGGGAAUGGCAGUGGAAACUAGGGGACUGGAAUCUGGCAGAGGGGGGUGGAAUGCCGCGUGUAGCAGUGAAAUGCGUAGAGAUGCGGCGGAACACCGAUGGCGAAGGCAGCCCCCUGGGCUGAGAUUGACGCUCAGGCACGAAAGCGUGGGGAGCAA